AGCGAACGCUGGCGGCAGGCCUAACACAUGCCAGUCGAACGAACCUUUUGGGGUUAGUGGCGGACGGGUGAGUAACACGUGGGAACGUGCCUUUAGGUUCGGAAUAACUCAGGGAAACUUGUGCUAAUACCGAAUGUGCCCUUCGGGGGAAAGAUUUAUCGCCUUUAGAGCGGCCCGCGUCUGAUUAGCUAGUUGGUUGAGGUAAUGGCUCACCAAGGCGACGAUCAGUAGCUGGUCUGAGAGGAUGAUCAGCCACAUUGGGACUGAGACACGGCCCAAACUCCUACGGGAGGCAGCAGUGGGGAAUCUUGCGCAAUGGGCGAAAGCCUGACGCAGCCAUGCCGCGUGAAUGAUGAAGGUCUUAGGAUUGUAAAAUUCUUUCACCGGGGACGAUAAUGACGGUACCCGGAGAAGAAGCCCCGGCUAACUUCGUG
Molecule: ribosomal RNA, 434 nt
Filed under: uncultured bacterium
Lineage: Bacteria
Description: partial 16S ribosomal RNA
Rfam family: Bacterial small subunit ribosomal RNA
Source: RNAcentral